UACGUAGGGUUCAAGCGUUAUCCGGAAUUACUGGGCGUAAAGAGUUGCGUAGGUGGCAAGGUAAGCGAUGCAUUAAAGCUCACGGCUCAACCGUGAAAUCAUGUGUCGAACUGCCUAGCUAGAAUAUGGGAGAGGUAGCUGGAAUUUCUAGUGUAGGAGUGAAAUCCGUAGAUAUUAGAAGGAACACCGAUGGCGUAGGCAGGCUACUAGCCCAUUAUUGACACUAAGGCACGAAAGCGUGGGGAGCGAACGGG
Molecule: ribosomal RNA, 254 nt
Filed under: uncultured bacterium
Lineage: Bacteria
Description: partial 16S ribosomal RNA
Rfam family: Bacterial small subunit ribosomal RNA
Source: RNAcentral